AUUGAACGCUGGCGGCAGGCCUAACACAUGCAAGUCGAGCGGAUGAAGGGAGCUUGCUCCUGGAUUCAGCUGCGGACGGGUGAGUAAUUCCUAGGAAUCUGCCUGGUAGUUGGGGAUAACGUCCGUAAACGGGCGCUAAUACCGCAUACGUCCUGAUGGAGAAAGUGGGGGAUCUUCGGACCUCACGCUAUCAGAUGAGCCUAGGUCGGAUUAGCUAGUUGGUGGGGUAAAGGCCUACGAAGGCGACGAUCCGUAACUGGUCUGAGAGGAUGAUCAGUCACACUGGAACUGAGACACGGUCCAGACUCCUACGGGAGGCAGCAGUGGGGAAUAUUGGACAAUGGGCGAAAGCCUGAUCCAGCCAUGCCGCGUGUGUGAAGAAGGUCUUCGGAUUGUAAAGCACUUUAAGUUGGGAGGAAGGGCAGUAAGUUAAUACCUUGCUGUUUUGACGUUACCAACAGAAUAAGCACCGGCUAACUUCGUG
This 484-nucleotide ribosomal RNA is filed under the name uncultured bacterium. RNAcentral's name for it is "partial 16S ribosomal RNA". It matches the Rfam family "Bacterial small subunit ribosomal RNA", at positions 30 to 507 of the family's 1533-position model. The record is from RNAcentral.